ACUCAAAUGAAUUGACGGGGGCCCGCACAAGCGGUGGAGCAUGUGGUUUAAUUCGACGCAACGCGCAGAACCUUACCCGGGCUAGAAAAUGCAGGAACCUGGUCGAAAGGUCGGGGUGCUCUUCGGAGAACCUGUAGUUAGGUGCUGCAUGGCUGUCGUCAGCUCGUGUCGUGAGAUGUUGGGUUAAGUCCCGCAACGAGCGCAACCCAUGUUGUCAGUUGCCAGCGGUUCGGCCGGGCACUCUGACGAGACUGCCGAUAUUCAAAUCGGAGGAAGGUGUGGAUGACGUCAAGUCCUCAUGGCCCUUAUGUCCGGGGCUACACACGUGCUACAAUGGCUACUACAGACCGUAGCGAACCCGCGAGGGGGAGCCAAUCGGAAAAAAGUAACCUCAGUACAGAUAUGAGUCUGCAACUCGACUCAUUGAAGUUGGAAUCGCUAGUAAUCCCUGAUCAGCAGGCAGGGGUGAAUACGUUCCCGGGCCUUGUACACACCGCCCGU
RNAcentral lists this ribosomal RNA (501 nucleotides) under uncultured bacterium. Its description in RNAcentral is "partial 16S ribosomal RNA". It matches the Rfam family "Bacterial small subunit ribosomal RNA", at positions 899 to 1397 of the family's 1533-position model. The record is from RNAcentral.